CAAAGAGUAGUUUAAGUUAAAAUGCUAGUUUUGGGGGCUAGAGAUGGGGAUUCUCUUCUUUGA
Molecule: transfer RNA, 63 nt
Filed under: Coluber constrictor (Eastern racer)
Lineage: Eukaryota; Metazoa; Chordata; Lepidosauria; Squamata; Colubridae
Description: tRNA-Pro
Rfam family: tRNA
About the family: Transfer RNA (tRNA) molecules are approximately 80 nucleotides in length.
Source: RNAcentral